RNAcentral lists this non-coding RNA (31 nucleotides) under Mus musculus (house mouse). Lineage: Eukaryota; Metazoa; Chordata; Mammalia; Rodentia; Muridae. The record is from RNAcentral.
UGCUAACUAACCCAACCGACCAUUUUAUGAU